CUACGGGAGGCAGCAGUGGGGAAUUUUGGACAAUGGGCGCAAGCCUGAUCCAGCCAUGCCGCGUGAGUGAUGAAGGCCUUAGGGUUGUAAAACUCUUUCGUCGGGGACGAUAAUGACGGUACCCGAAGAAGAAGCUCCGUCUAACUUCGUGCCAGCAGCCGCGGUGAUACGAAGGGGGCUAGCGUUGUUCGGAUUUACUGGGCGUAAAGCGCGUGUAGGCGGGCUGGUAAGUUGGGGGUGAAAUCCCGAGGCUCAACCUCGGAACUGCCUCCAAAACUGUCAGCCUGGAGCAAAGAAGAGGCGAGUGGAAUUGCGAGUGUAGAGGUGAAAUUCGUAGAUAUUCGCAGGAACACCAGUGGCGAAGGCGACUCGCUGGUCUUUUGCUGACGCUGAGACGCGAAAGCGUGGGGAGCAAACAGGAUUAGAUACCCUUGUAGUCC
Molecule: ribosomal RNA, 440 nt
Filed under: uncultured bacterium
Lineage: Bacteria
Description: bacterial SSU rRNA
Rfam family: Bacterial small subunit ribosomal RNA
Source: RNAcentral